This 253-nucleotide ribosomal RNA is filed under the name uncultured bacterium. RNAcentral's name for it is "partial 16S ribosomal RNA". It matches the Rfam family "Bacterial small subunit ribosomal RNA", at positions 524 to 776 of the family's 1533-position model. The record is from RNAcentral.
UACGGGGGGGGCAAGCGUUGUUCGGAAUUACUGGGCGUAAAGGGUGUGUAGGUGGCGCGCUAAGUCGGGUGUGAAAUUUCGGAGCUUAACUCCGAAACUGCAUUCGAUACUGGCGUGCUUGAGGACUGGAGAGGAGACUGGAAUUCAUGGUGUAGCAGUGAAAUGCGUAGAGAUCAUGAGGAAGACCAGUGGCGAAGGCGGGUCUCUGGACAGUUCCUGACACUGAGACACGAAGGCCAGGGGAGCAAACGGG